GGGCGCUUAGCUCAGCGGCAGAGCGCUGCCUCGACACGGCAGAGGUCACUGGUUCAAUCCCAGUAGCGCCCA
RNAcentral lists this transfer RNA (72 nucleotides) under bacterium. Its description in RNAcentral is "tRNA-Val". It matches the Rfam family "tRNA". From Rfam's summary of the family: Transfer RNA (tRNA) molecules are approximately 80 nucleotides in length. RNAcentral also lists the same sequence under 5 other names. The record is from RNAcentral.